AACGCGAAGAACCUUACCUACUCUUGACAUCCACAGAACUUUCCAGAGAUGGAUUGGUGCCUUCGGGAACUGUGAGACAAGUGCUGCAUGGCUGUCGUCAGCUCGUGUUGUGAAAUGUUGGGUUAAGUCCCGCAACGAGCGCAACCCUUAUCCUUUGUUGCCAGCGCGUCAUGGCGGGAACUCAAAGGAGACUGCCGGUGAUAAACCGGAGGAAGGUGGGGAUGACGUCAAGUCAUCAUGGCCCUUACGAGUAGGGCUACACACGUGCUACAAUGGCAUAUACAAAGAGAAGCGAACUCGCGAGAGCAAGCGGACCUCAUAAAGUAUGUCGUAGUCCGGAUCGGAGUCUGCAACUCGACUCCGUGAAGUCGGAAUCGCUAGUAAUCGUAGAUCAGAAUGCUACGGUGAAUACGUUCCCGGGUCUUGUACACACCG
Molecule: ribosomal RNA, 435 nt
Filed under: uncultured bacterium
Lineage: Bacteria
Description: bacterial SSU rRNA
Rfam family: Bacterial small subunit ribosomal RNA
Source: RNAcentral